UUUUGUUGGAGUUCAUGUACAUAUCUAUCUUCAACUCGCUAGUGCGAGUCGUUUUGGAUCUUGGAUUUUGGCGUACGUAUAUGGAACUCAGUUUGGUUUUCUACUGAUUCUUCUAGCAGCUCUAUACUACUGUUUAUAGUAUUAUAUGAUUUACAGGUACAGCUAUCGCUUCGUAUACAGGAAAAAUUUCUUUGUAUACGGCGGGUUUGUCAGCGCACCCAGGGAACGAGUAAUCCGGGGCGUGACAUCAAUGAUUUAAAAACUAAAUUGAACCGAUUAAUUUGACUGAUCAGAUUUUUACCUAUUCUAUCAAGAAUCUGAUUUUAACGUAUCGAACCGAAUAACAUUAAGAACAAUUUGGAACCGGUAAAGAUAAUUUAUAUUUUAAACAGAAUGAUAAUUUAACUGUUAGAGCUAAUAAAUAUUUUAAAUAUAAUUUUAAACAUAUAAAUUAAAAAGAUUAGAAUUAUUGGUGAGAAAAAAAAUAUUUAGGAAUUUGAAUUCGAAUCUGACUAACAAUCACAAAACUUAUUUUCGAACUCGACGAAUUUCAAAAAUCCAUAUCCAAAUUCAAAACUGACCAAUUUUUCGAAACCCAAAACCAACCUAAAUCAUAAGACUACAAUUCAAACAAUUAUUUAUGUUUACCAUAUUUCAAAGUAUUUAUAUGAAACUUAAAAUUUUAAAAUAUAAAUUUGAAUAUAAUAUUAAAUUUUAAAUUUAAAAGUGAAAUUUAAAUUAGUGGAAUUUCAUAUUACUAUUUAAAGUUUAAAUUCAAUGAUCAUAUUGUCAAAUUAUUUGAAAUUUUUUUUAUAUGAAAUGUCAAAAUAUGAAAGGAAAGAUAGAGAUCGAAAAAAGAAACAAGGAAAAAGUAAAAAUUUUGAAAAUAUAGUAGAUGUAUAAUGACUAAAUUGCUUAUGUAUUAAAAGACAAAAAUAUUCUUUUUUGAGGUACCUGGUAACCGGUACCUUUUCCAAAGUGACCUGCAAGUCACAAUUUUAAAAAAACUAAAUCUAAACCGUUGAAUACGCGUCAAUGAACGAUAACAAAAAAAAAAAAGAAAAAAGUAUAGAAGUAUUACUCUGGAAAUAUUUAUUUGCAGGGACUAGAACUAUGAGUCCUUUGUAUUCUUCUAGUUGCAGUUGUCGAUUUCAUAGGAGUCUUUUAGUGAUCAGUUAUCUUUACUGUACAAAGUGAGUAAUCUCUGAAUCUUCGUACAGUACUCUGUUUUGCCUUUUUCUUUUAGAGGGUGUUUGGGUCAGCGUAAAAUAAAUCAAAAAUUAUUUUUGUUAUGAAAAUUGCUUUUUUUUUUAUUUGAUUUGACGUAAAAAUAUUUUUUACGAAUUUGAAAAAAAAAAAAUUGAAGUUUUUGAUUUUCAUUGUUUUUCGGCCGAAAAUAAAAACUCAAGCUACGUAUAACUUUUUUUAUUUAUUUAUUUUUCUUUUAACCAGACAAAUAUUGAUGAAAAUUUUUUUUUCUAAUAUAUAUAUAUAGAGAGAGUCCGGUUACUAUACUUUUAUGAGUACGAUCGCUCCCGUACUCAUAAGUUAUUUUCGGUGAUUGAGUUUCCGAAUCGACGAUCCACAGCAUUAAACGUUAUCUAGAACAUUUAAAACGUUUAGAAAUCAAAUUUUAUAAUUUUUCGACAUCAUUUACCUUACGAUCAAAAUGUCACAAAAUUAACAAUUUUUAACGAUCGGUAUGGAAUAUUUGCUAGUUUAACGGUGUAAAAGAAUCGAAAUCGGUUGAAUUUUUUAUAGAAAAUUCUAUUCACUACAUAGGUAAAGAUCAAUAACUCCGAUCUUAAAUUGAAGGAUCCGAUCAUCUAUUUUUAAGACGUCGUUCGAUUUCGAACGUUCAUUUUAUACCCACUUGAUUAACUUUAUUAUGAUUUCGAAAAAUUACAAAAUUUAUUUUUCAUAAAUUUCAAAUACUCUAAAUCAUAUUUAACGGAGUGGAUCGUCGAUUCGAAAGUUCAAUCAUUAAAAACAAUUUAUGAGGAUGAAAGGCUCUAUGCUUAUAAGAGUAUAGUAGCCAUAACCUAUAUAUUUCUACUUUUUUUUUUUUCUUCGCUUUUUUAAUCCAAAACUCUUCAGUCAAGCACGCCGGCGAGGAGCGAUUUGAGACCCAGGCGAAGGGAUGCCGGGAAGACAAGAUAUAUAAGCAAAAUCUCCUUCUUCUUUUUUUCCCAAUAUAUGUAGCUUCUAUGUCCCUUUAUCUCUCAUUAAUAGUUUUUUUUAUCAUUGUUAGCUUCCAUCUCUCCUCUUUUCCUUGCUAGCUGAAACCAGUGUUGAUAUUCACAUCUUUAUGAUUACUAAGGUGGAGAUUGAUAAAAUGAUGGUUAAAAGUAUUAUUUUUAUAUUAUUAAAAGCUCAAUGCUCUUAAAUUACGGUUAUAAUCGCCAUCGAAACAUACUUCUUUGAUGACUGUUGCAACCAUAAUUUUAUAGUAUAAAAAAAACAAAUAUUGAAAGCACUUUUGUAUUUUUUUGGACAUUCUAUAGUAUACAUAUAGU
RNAcentral lists this long non-coding RNA (2516 nucleotides) under Ananas comosus (pineapple). RNAcentral's name for it is "long non-coding RNA (ACOM_LNC011655)". The record is from RNAcentral. Lineage: Eukaryota; Viridiplantae; Streptophyta; Magnoliopsida; Poales; Bromeliaceae.